GGCCAAGUUUGGUUUAAUUUGGCCCAGUAGUUUCAGAGGAGAAGAUUUUUGUAAAAGUUAACGACGACGACGGACGACAGACGACGGACGACGCCGGACGCCGGACGCCAAGUGAUGAGUAAAGCUCACUUGGCCUUUUAGGCCAGGUGAGCUAAAAAUGGUUAAAAAUUGACUAUAAAGGGCAAUAACUCCUAAAGGGUCAACUGACCAUUUCGGUCAUGUUGACUUAUUUGUAAAUCUUACUUUGAUGAACAUUAUUGCUGUUUACAGUUUAUCUCUAUCUAUAAUAAUAUUCAAGAUAAUAACCAAAAACGGCAAAAAUUUCCUCAAAAUUACCAAUUCAGGGGCAGCAAUCCAACAACAGGUUGACCGAUUCAUCUGAAAAUUUCAGGUCAGAUAGAUCUUGACCUGAUAAACAUUUUUACUCCAUGUCAGAUUUCCUCUAAAUGUUUUGGUUUUUGAGUUAUAAGCCAAAAACUGCAUUUUACCCCUAUGUUCUAUUUUUAGCCGUGGCGGCCAUCUUGGUUGGUUGACCGGGUCACGCCACACAUUUUUUAAACUAGAUACCCCAAAGAUGAUUGUGGCCAACUUUGGAUUAAUUUGGCCCAGUAGUUUCAGAGGAGAAGAGUUUUGUAAAAGAUUACUUAGAUUUAUGAAAAAUGGUUAAAAAUUGACUAUAAAGGGCAAUAACUCCUUAAGGGGUCAACUGACCAUUUCGGUCAUGUGACUUAUUUGUAAAUCUAACUUUGCUGAACAUUAUUGCUGUUUACAGUUUAUCUCUAUCUAUAAUAAUAUUCAAGAUAAUAACCAAAAACGGCAAAAUUUCCUCAAAAUUACCAAUUCAGGGGCAGCAACCCAACAACAGGUUCACCGAUUCAUCUGAAAAUUUCAGGCAGAUAGAUCUUGACCUGAUAAACAUUUUUACCCCACAUCAGAUUUCCUCUAAAUGCUUUGGUUUUUGAGUUAUAAGCCAAAAACUGCAUUUUACCCCUAUGUUCUAUUUUUAGCCGUGGCGGCCAUCUUGGUUGGUUGACCGGGUCACGCCACACAUUUUUUAAACUAGAUACCCCAAAGAUGAUUGUGGCCAAGUUUGGAUUAAUUUGGCCCAGUAGUUUCAGAGGAGAAGAUUUUUGUAAAAGAUUACUUAGAUUUAUGAAAAACGGUUAAAAAUUGACUAUAAAGGGCAAUAACUCCUAAAGGGGUCAACUGACCAUUUCGGUCAUGUUGACUUACUUGUAAAUCUAACUUUGCCGAACAUUAUUGCUGUUUACAGUUUAUCUCUAUCUGUAAUAAUAUUCAAGAUAUAACCAAAAACAGCAAAAUUUCCUCAAAAUGACCAAUUCAGGGGCAGCAACCCAACAACGGGUUGACCGAUUCAUCUGAAAAUUUCAGGGCAGAUAGAUCUUGACCUGAUAAACAUAUUUACCCCCAUGUAAGAUUUCCUCUAAAUGCUUUGUUUUUUGAGUUAUAAGCCAAAAACUGCAUUUUACCCCUAUGUUCUAUUUUUAGCCAUGGCGGCCAUCUUGGUUGGUUGACCGGGUCACGCCACACAUUGUUUAAACUAGAUACCCCAAUGAUG
Molecule: long non-coding RNA, 1579 nt
Filed under: Mytilus galloprovincialis (Mediterranean mussel)
Lineage: Eukaryota; Metazoa; Mollusca; Bivalvia; Mytilida; Mytilidae
Source: RNAcentral